Acinonyx jubatus (cheetah) is the source of this 2831-nucleotide long non-coding RNA. RefSeq lists it as uncharacterized. The transcript has 2 exons. NCBI's taxonomy places the organism in Eukaryota, Metazoa, Chordata, Mammalia, Carnivora, Felidae. The record is from RefSeq and is a predicted model, not a curated record.
GCCAUUUUGAAGGGAAGGGAAUGUCUUUGGUUAAGGGUAAAUCUGUAGCAGGGCAGACUAUUAACCCAUUUUAGCAGUCACAAAAUUUGAAUCUACUGUCUUUUGCAACUCAAAAAGUGGCUUCAUUUAUUAUUGUGAGCUAUUAAUGUAAGAUAAAAUAAUCAGUGUGAACAUAUCUUUGCAUUUUUCUUUACAUCAAUAAUUGUUCAUACCAAAAGCUUAAUUACCUGUUUCCCUUUUAUUAAUGUACAGUUUCCCACUUGUGGUCAUAAAGCCUCGCUUAUUUUUUUUUUUCUUUCAGCCACAUUUCAGUUUGCUUAGAGAUAUAUACUUACAAAUUUCGAAAAACUAAUGCAUGGAACAUAGGAAGAGUUGUACAGAUUCUUGAGUUGGAGGUUUAUUUAUUUUUUUAAAUAUUUAUUUAUUUUUGAGAGAGAGAAUGUGAGCAGGGUAGGGGCAGAGAGAGAGGGAGACACAGAAUCCAAAGCAGGCUCCAGGCUCUAAGCCAUCAGGACAGAGCCUAACACGGGGAUUCAAACUCAUGAACCAUGAGAUCAUGACCUGAGCCAAAGCCAGAUGCUUAACCAUUGAGCCACCCAGGCACCCCAAGGAGGUUUAUUCUUCAAAAUGAAGUUAAAGCUGAUUAACUGCUAAAACUUAAAAUUUCUUAACCAUUUACUCCUUUUCAGAAUAAGCAUUUCAACAGCCUUUCUUCUAAGGUGUAUACUUUGGAGGGUAGAUCGAAGUCAGUUGACCUUUGGGAAUGGCUGAAGUUAAUCAAACCAAGAGCUUUUCCCAAAUUGAGUGAUAAAAAUCAAUAGGUAGGGACUCAACAAGGUUUGCUGUUCUCACUUGGAUGGACAGGUACCGGUUUCUUUUUCCUUAGCCUUGAGCUAACCAUUGGGUGUGUUAGUGCCCUCUUUUGGUGUAAGGAGGGUACUGCAGCUGGCAUCCUUAAAUAAUACUUAAAUAAUAUGUGCGAGCAAUAGACAUCCUUUUGUGUUUUAUUUUUUUUUAAUUUUUCAAAAAAAUUUUAAAUUUAUUUUUGAGAGAGAGCACAAGCGGGAGGGGGAAGAGAGAGAGGGAGACACAGAAUCCAAAGCAAGUUCCAGGCUGAGUUCUCAACACAGAGCCCGAUGCAGGGCCUGACUCAUGAACUGUGAGAUCGUGACCUGAACCGAUUUGGACGCUCAACUAAUUGAGCGCCCCAGGAGCCCCCAUUCUUUUAGGUUUUUAAAGUAAAAUAAUAUGGUCACAUUACAGAAUAUUUGGUAAGUUAAAGGAAGGAUUCACUCAUAAUUCUACCCAAAUAUAAACAUCCUUGAUGAAUUCAGGCAUUCUUUGUCAAAUGCUUCAACUGCCGUUAGUAAAAUAAUUAAGAUAACUGAGCAGUGAAGUUAAUAUAUUUACAGUUAUAAAAAGAGGUUGUAUUGAGGCACCUGUGUGUCUCAGUUGGUUAAGUGUCUGACUCUUGAUUUUGGCUCAGGUCAUGAUGUCACGGUUCGUGAGUUCAAGCCCUGUGUUGGGUUCUGUGUUGACAAUGUGAGCCUACUUGGGGUUCUCUUUCUCUCUGCCCCUGCCCUGUUCAUGUGUGUGCAUGCAUGCACGCUCUCAUAGAGAAGAAUAAAUUAGUUUUAAAAAACUUUAGAUCAGGGGUGCCUGGGUGGCUCAGUCAGUUGAGUGUCCGACUUCAGCUCAGGUCAGGAUCUUGCAGUUCGUGAGUUCGAGCCCCGCGUCGGUCUCUGUGCUGACAGCUCAGAGCCUGGAGCCUGUUUCACAUUCUGUGUCUCCCUCUCUCUGCCCCUUCCCUGCUCAUGUCCUGUCUCUCUCUGUCUCUCAAAAAUGAAUAAACGUUAAAAAUAAGAAACCUUUAGAUCAAAAAUAGAAAUUUUUAAAGAGGUUGUAUUAUGUAUUGAAAUAUUAUGUAUUGAAAUAAAAAGCAUAAUUCAUACAGCACAAGACUUUCAAGUAGAGACAACUAGAAAAAAAUUAAGAAUUUUUCAAAUGAAAAUAAAUGUUAGGUAAUGUUAUAUUAAAGUUGUAACCUGAAAAGUAAGGAAACAGUGACUUCGCACUUUUGAGAACUUUUGGCUUUCAUUUUUCCAGUACCUAUUAAACUGGCUUAGGUCACUACUCUUUAGGACUUUUGGAAAAGGCCAGCCAGAGCUUCAUUCUGUCUCUGUAAGGUAGAGGACUAAAGUAGCACUUUGUUAGUCCAUUGGCUCUCAAUUAAGAUCUUACUCCGCUGUGGAUAGAUUCAAGAAGGUAGACCUUGUCAGGCAUUGGAUGUAGGGAAUGAGGGAGAAGGAAGAGUGAGUCCUAUUUCUCAAUCUCUGUCUUGGGUAGACAUUCCACUAGGUGCUUAGUGGGAUCUCAUUGUAGUUUUAAUUUGCAUUUCCCUAAUGACUAAUGGUGUUGGGCAUUGUUUCAUGCGUUUACUUGCCAUCCAUGUAUCUUCUUUGAUGAAAGAUGUGUCCACAUUUUUGACUAGUUUAUAUUGUUUUUUUGCUUUUGAGAAAAUUUAUAUAUACAUAUUCUGGAUGCAAGUUGUUUAGAUAGAAGUCAAAUAUAUACUUUGCAAAUACUUUCUAGUGUGUGGCUUUUAUUCUUUUAACGUCUUUCAAAAAUAGCAGAAUAAACUUUUAAAAAAAGGGUGCCUGGGUGGCUCAGUUAAGUGUCCAACUCUUGAUUUCGGCUCAGGUCAUGAUCUCCCAGUUGGUGAAAUUUUCCCACAUUGGGCUUUGUGCUAACAGCACAGAGCCUACUUGAGAUUCUCUUUCCCUUUCUUUCUGCCCUCCCCUGCUUGCUUGCUCGCUCGCUCGCUCGCUCUC